AUGUUAGAGCUGAAGCUCUGCAGUUCAGAUGUAACAUACCUGAAUAUGAUUGCAGUGAUGGAAACCCAAGGAUUUAGUGAAUAUGAUCUGCUGUUUCACAUUGAGAAUCUAGAUUUAGGGGAGAAAGGAUUGGAGAUGGUAGAGAGUAAUGCUGAGUUGCAACUAGUAAAGAGGCAGGUUGAGGAGUGUAAGGUUUUAAAUUUGCUAGUGAGGGCAUGUCCACCUCCUUGCAGCAAGUUUGAGAGGCAAGAAUUAUCCACUGUUGUGUAUGAAGAGCCUGUGUUAUAUGAUCUCAGUGAGCCACCCAUCUAUGCUGUUGAUGAAGAAGGAGUUGCCUUUGAAAGUCAGAGUAGCAGCUGCAGUUUAGCUCAUGGUACUGGUGUUUGCACACAAGAGAGCAAGAAUGUAAAAGGAAAACUGAAAGCUGUUUUGGAAAUAGAAGAAGAAGAGGGAUAUGAUGGCAGUGGUGGUUCUGAUUGUGAAGGUGAAGAUGACAGUGAUGUAAACCCUUUUUAUAUGGGUGAUGCUGAUGACAUAGAGAUGGAUGAGGGAAAGAAACAGAGAGAGUAUGAUGAAGUAGAAGAGGAACAAACAGAUGAUGAAGAAUCUGAGGAGGAAGAAAUGGUGCAUUACUCGGGUGACACAGAGGUUGAGGAACCUUUUGAAAUGGAUGAAGAUGACAAGGUUGUUUCACAGGAUGAAGAAACUGUAAUUGUACAUGAAGAGAAGAAGAAGAAGAAACAGAAGCUUCCAGUUAGGAAAGGGCCUACAACAAGGACACAUUCAAGUGUAGUUCAAGAGGAGGAACCUGAUUUCAAACCUUCAUCUGAUGAAGAAGAGAAAGGAUUGUUGAAGGAGGCUGAUGAUGAUGGUUAUGAGCCAUUGUCAUUUGUGCUGCCAAAGAAAAGGAAGAGCAGGGCAAAGCAGAGGCCUCCUAGAAAAUGGUACAAUGAGAAAAUGGAGGCACCACAUGAGCAAUUAUGUCUAAAGAUGUGUUUCAAGGAUCAACGUCAAUUCAGAGAGGCUUUGUUGAACUUACACAUCACUCAAGGCAGAAACUUCAAAUAUCAUAGGAACUCAGAUCAAAGAAUAAUUGUAGAAUGCAACCAAAAACAUUGCAACUUCUUUAUGGUGGCAGCAGUUAUAAAAGGUGAAACUACUUUUGUAAUUAAGAAGAUGAGAAUUAAGCACACUUGCCCUAUUAGUACAGAGACAACAAGGGUAAGUGCCAAGUGGCUUGCACAGAAGUAUGAGUCACUGUUCAGAUCUGAUCUAACAACUGGCAUUCAGACUUUGAUUGAUGCCUACAUGGAGAAGUAUGGUGUGGAUGUGCCCAAGUCAAUGGCAUAUAGGGCAAAGAACCUAGCUAUUGAUGAUGUGCUAGGAGACCACAAGAAGCAAUACCCUAGGUUGAAAGACUAUGCUCAGACAGUGAUGGAUACAAACCCUGGGAGUAGAGUAGUAGUCACUACUGUAACUCCAACACCCACUGAAAAAAUCCCCCAUCCAGGUCCAAGAUUCCAUGCUAUGUUCUAUUGCAUCAAUGGAGCAAGGGAGGGGUUUCUCAAGGGGUGCAGACCAUUCAUUGGUGUUGAUGGGUGCUUCAUUAAGUUAACUACUGGUGCUCAACUACUUGCUGCCACUGGUAGAGAUGGCAACAACAAUAUAUACCCACUAGCAUUUGGUAUUGUUGGGCAAGAGGACACACCUAACUGGUGUUGGUUUCUACACCAACUUAAAAUCUGCCUAGGAGGAGAAGUGGGAAGGUUUGGUCCAUAUACAAUAAUGUCAGAUAGACAAAAGGGCCUACUAAAUGCAGUGAAUGCUGUCUUUCCUAAGUGCAACCAAAGGUUCUGCCUUAGGCAUAUCUAUGCAAACUUCCAAAAUGCUGGGUUUAGGGGGGAAGAUCUGAAAAAGUGUAUGGAUAAUGCUGCCUAUGCAUAUAGUGAACACAAAUUUAACAUUGCAAUGAAUGACCUUAGAGCUGAGUGUGAGCAAGCUUGGGAGUGGCUUUGUCAAAUACCCAAGAAAACAUGA
This 2037-nucleotide ribosomal RNA is filed under the name Triticum aestivum (bread wheat). RNAcentral's name for it is "partial small subunit ribosomal RNA". The record is from RNAcentral. Lineage: Eukaryota; Viridiplantae; Streptophyta; Magnoliopsida; Poales; Poaceae.